GCCUGAAGCAGUAAACGAGUCAUUCCAUUUCCUUUCUUGCACUUGGCCUCUCCCGGUGCCAUGAAAGCACCAUGGGUGUGGGGAGGCAGCUGGCCCUGGAUUCCAAGUCUAUUCCUCUACAUCCGGCCGGUGACCUUGGGCAAAGGCAUUUGCCUUCCAAGAAGGGGCAGGGGCCCUUUGUAGUCUGCCCAAUGAGGGGUCCAUGGUCAGGGUUUGAGAAGAACUGAACAGGGAACGGUGAUAGAGCCAUGAGGAGGCAGCUUUCCGAAGGGGCUGCUGGAGGAGAGGACACGCCAUCUGAGACAGGAAGGAUGAGAGAAAAGGUGUCCCGGGGAAAAGAACCGGCAAGUGCAAAGGCCCUGCCCAUCUCAUCCAGCUUCCCCUCCCCCAUCCCUUUCAAACUGACCCACAAUCCAGUGGCUCUGUCCUCAGAGCCCUGAGGCACACCCGAGGACAGCAGUCAUCUGCCCAGUUAUAUGAAUUAUGUACCAGGUCAUGUCUUUUUGAAGACC
This is a long non-coding RNA of Canis lupus familiaris (dog), 512 nucleotides long. RefSeq lists it as uncharacterized. Lineage: Eukaryota; Metazoa; Chordata; Mammalia; Carnivora; Canidae. The record is from RefSeq and is a predicted model, not a curated record. The transcript is spliced from 3 exons.